Non-coding RNA from Heterocephalus glaber (naked mole-rat), 1351 nucleotides. The record is from RefSeq and is a predicted model, not a curated record. Lineage: Eukaryota; Metazoa; Chordata; Mammalia; Rodentia; Bathyergidae.
CCCCUUUGAGUCAGCAAAGGCUUCUGGGAGAAAUGGCUGACCGAGUCCCGGAGGCAAGAGUUGGGGAGCUUGUGUGCACCGUGCCUCCCACCCUGCCACUGUCUCUGCACAUCUCAUUGAAGAGGUGAAGAUCACCGCCUGUCUCCAGCUUUGCACAGAAAGGGAGCUGAGUAUGGCGCAUGAAACCAGCCCACAGGUUGUCACCAUAAGUCAAGCAAGAAAAUGAGCAAAGCCUCUCUGAGCAGAGGAGAUACCCUUUCAGCACCUCAGGACGCACGGAGAAACCUUGGGCCCGUGACACAGCUGGCACUUGUGUCUCUUUCCGUGGGAUGCUUCUGCCUCGGGAGAGGCAGAACUCCAUCUGAAACUCAGGCUGCAUGCUCUGUGCUCUCAUAAGCCUGAGUGCUCGAGUAUCACGCCCAUUUCACAGAUGAGAAACUGAGCCUGAAAAUCCAGCAUCUUUUCAGAAAAAUUAUUGAGUCCUUGCUUUGUGCCUGGGGCUGCUCUGGAACCUGGAGACACAUCAUGGGACAAGACAGACACACUUCCUGCCCUCCAGGGAGUCACACCCACCAGUAGAACCUGGCUCCCGGGGGCAUCCCACACACAACCACGGGAGGCAGGACCAGGCUUUGAGCAGGUUGAGGGAAGGGACUUCAUUCUGCAGCCUCCCUCCUGGGCCCACAUGAUUGGUGCCCAGACAGCACUGUGCACCAGAGCAGUGGCACUUGGCAGUUGACAUGGCAUCUCCAGGGUCCUUGGCACACAUGGAGAAGGUGAGUGGCUUGCAGCGAUCCUUCCUCCUCCAGACUUGUCACAACUCUAGGAGGCAACUUGAUUGUCCGCUCAGCAGAUGGGGAAGUCAAGGCUCAUAGAUAUGCAACGACUUGACCAGACCCCAUGGCAGGCAACCUCAGAACUCCACUCUCCUCUGCUCUGUUGACUGCUCUCCAUGAGCAUUACUCAGCGGAGUCCCUUCCCUCACCACCCAGGAGGCUGCCAGAAAGCUUCUGACAACAGAUGCCGUCCCAAAACACUGGCACGUGACCCAGCAAUUCCACUCCUUGGUAUCUACCCAGGAGAAAUGACAACUUGUCCACAUUAGGCCUUGAACACGGAUGUCAUAUCUGUGUUCAUUGUUCAUGAUAGCUAUGAAGUGGGCAUAGCCCAAUGUCCAUCAACUGGUGCAUGGAUAAACCAAUCGUGCCAUAUACACACCAUCAUGGACUAUUAUUCAGUCAUGAAAGAGAGUAUUGGCAUAUAUGAUCACAUGGAUGACCCUUGAAAAUGUACUCAGUGAAAGGUCUUGUCACAAAUGAUCACAUAUAUUCUUUCCUUUAUUUGAAAUACC